RNAcentral lists this small RNA (24 nucleotides) under Brassica napus (rape). RNAcentral describes it as "PsRNA_03". The record is from RNAcentral. Lineage: Eukaryota; Viridiplantae; Streptophyta; Magnoliopsida; Brassicales; Brassicaceae.
CCAUGGGAAUCGAACUAGGGGUGC